This is a long non-coding RNA of Lolium perenne, 714 nucleotides long. RefSeq lists it as uncharacterized. The record is from RefSeq and is a predicted model, not a curated record. Lineage: Eukaryota; Viridiplantae; Streptophyta; Magnoliopsida; Poales; Poaceae.
GCCCAGGCACGAAGGGUCGGACAACGCACAGGCAGUUUCCAUGUGUUUACUCCCAAAUUGAUUCCGGACGUUUUAAGCCACCAUUUAAUGCACCGUUUGUUGCUACUUAAGCUCCACACCCUCCUCUUCAUUUCCCCUCAAACCACACAGACCGAGAGCCUCCAGGCUGCUCGAAUUUGGCAUCGCAACUCCGCGGUACUGCCGCAGUAUAUCGUCGAAUUCGAGCAACGUCUCCGUUCUCUUCUGUGAGGACGUUCGCGGCGGCGAGCGAUUUCGAGAGAACCAGUGCACACGACGUCCGCGAAUUCACCAUCGAGUUCGUCUUGUCGAGCCGACAGCGUUCGUCUGUUUCACCAUCGUUAGAGAUUAACGGAAUCUCGACAUCGUCAACCAGCCAGACUGUCAACCACUACGGCCACGAACGCCAUUCCUGUAUUGUGGUUGUGCUGAUUGCAACGAGUGUUUUUGCGAAGAGUGUACCAACUCCUCAUCUCACCAAGGCAAGUGACACACCCUCACAAAUGUCCUAGAUUUUAUUCAUGCACCGUAGUGAUUUUUGUAGUAAGUCUAGGGAUAUGCUUUGCUUUUGUAAUCCCAGUAGUCUAGCUACCCCUAUUUGACUUACUUUGUCGCCAUUAAAUUUAGUUGUAGCUCAGCUAUGCUAUAAAAGAGAUUUUGUUAGCGAGUUAUGGAAAAACAACUAAGUUUAAUGAA